This 1257-nucleotide long non-coding RNA is filed under the name Anas platyrhynchos platyrhynchos (common mallard). RNAcentral's name for it is "lncRNA (ENSAPLG00000023013.1)". The record is from RNAcentral. Lineage: Eukaryota; Metazoa; Chordata; Aves; Anseriformes; Anatidae.
AUGCAUGUGUGUGUGAAAGAGUAUCGGAGUGCGUGUGUGAGUGUGUCUAUGUGUGUCUAUGCGUGUUGUGUGUGUGCCCGGGGCUGGGCAGGGAGCCUUGCACCAGGGCUGGGGCUGACAACAGCUGCCCUCAGCUGCAGCCUGGGUUGUGCCCCCCUGGCACACACACCCCCACACACGUACAAACAUACACACAGACCCACAUGUACUCACACUUGCACACACUCGCACAGACUCACACACACAUGCAUGCACACUCACACAUACAUGCACACACACAUUGACACUCUCACACUUGCACACACACAUUCGCACACAUUCACACGCACACUCACACUUGCACACACAUGUAUCCACACUGCCACACACACUCACAUACACAUAUUCACAGGUUUGCACACUCUCAGUCACACACUCUCAGACACACUCACACAUACCCAUACGCGCACACACACUCGUAUACACUCACAGACAUACACACAUACACUCACACAUACACUCACACACACACACACUCACACUCACUCCCCCCUCCAGCUCCUCCUCUCCCCUCCCCCCCCCUCCCCAGCUCACUGGGGGCCACCGGGGGCCCCGUGGCGGCGCGCAGGGACUAAUUAUCCCCAAUUAACAACGUGCCUCGCUCCAGCACCGAGCAGGAGGGUCAGCAGGGGGGUGUCCCACACCUCUAAACCCCCCCCACACUCUCAGCUCCCCCCCAAGCCCCCCCCCUUGCCCGCUCCCGCCGCGUCCUUCCCAAUGUCAGAGGGGCAGCGGCGCCCCCCCCAGCGGGCAGCCCCGAGCACGGGGGGGGGGUGCACGCCCACCCUCACGCCCACCCGCUCACACUCACACUCACACUCACAUUCACACGCACGGAUCCCGAAAAGGUUACAGGGUUGCUCUCUAGCUCCACUUAACCUGCAAUUUACGAAGCCGGGGAAGAGGGGGGGCUCUCCCCCUGCUUUCCCCACGCCGAGCUGCCACCUCCCCGCGGCCCCGCUGGGGGAACGCAUACAGGCUAGCAAAUUUUGGGGUGUGUGGGGGAAGGUAAAAGGGGGGUACACAUUAUGCGAACUCCUAAAAAAAAUGCAACCCCUUCCCAGUAGCACGCUCGUAACCGCAACCGCCCCCCCGCAACACCCCCCAAACGAGCCCAUGCACCCCCCCCGCAGCCACAAAGCAUGGGGAGAGAAGGGGUCGGGGGGAGAGGGCUCGCAUGCAUCGCAGGGCACAGAAAUUCCCCCCAGCCCCCCAUAA